AAGGACUUUGAAGAGAGAGUUCAAAAGGGCGCGAAACCGCUUAGAAUAAAACGGACGGAGCCGUCGGUGGCCUUCCGGAAUCAGUCGUACGACGCGCGAUGGCGCGUUUUGUCGGAGCGAAAGUCCGGCGGGCGCGUUGGGAGAUAGUAGCGUUCGUUCGAUGCAUUUCCGGAGGGUAUGCGCCGCGACCGAUGCGAGUGCUAGCGAAUCCGGCGAUUUGAGGUGGAAACCCCUCACGGGGUCUUCAUUACCAGUUCGUCGGCUUGUAAUCGCUAGACGUAAGCAUCGAGCGCGUAAUAUAACAGACACUGGUUAAGAUGCUCGCUCAAGCGGUGGAUAGUCGGCGGAAUUUGCCGUACCUGCUCGCAGGUUAUGCGAAUUACCGUUCGGCGUUUGAAACCGCAGGCGAGUUGGUGUCCUGGCGUCAGCGGCGUCCGAGACGGUCAACCGUCCGACCCGUCUUGAAACACGGACCAAGGAGUCUAACGUACGCGCGAGCUAAUGAGUGGAAAACUCAUAAGCGCAAUAAAAGUAAAAGGUACGAUCCCGGGGUAUUUACUUAUCCAGGGCGCAGUACCGUCCCAUCCUGAUCGCUUGUCGGUAGGGUGGAGAUUGAGUGCCUACGUUGGGACCCGAAAGAUGGUGAACUAUGCCUGAGCAGAGCGAAGCCAGAGGAAACUCUGGUGGAGGUUCGUAGCGGUUCUGACGUGCAAAUCGAUCGUCAGACUUGGGUAUAGGGGCGAAA
Molecule: ribosomal RNA, 745 nt
Filed under: Longidorus elongatus
Lineage: Eukaryota; Metazoa; Nematoda; Enoplea; Dorylaimida; Longidoridae
Description: LSU rRNA
Rfam family: Eukaryotic large subunit ribosomal RNA
Source: RNAcentral